UUUAACAUGAGAGUUUGAUCCUGGCUCAGGAUGAACGCUGGCGGCGUGCUUAACACAUGCAAGUCGAACGGACUUUAUAUGAAGCCUAGCGAUUAUAAAGUUAGUGGCGGACGGGUGAGUAACGCGUGAAUAACCUGCCCUGUACCGGGGGACAACAGUUGGAAACGGCUGCUAAUACCGCAUAAGCGCACGGUUCCGCAUGGAACAGUGUGAAAAACUCCGGUGGUACAGGAUGGAUUCGC
RNAcentral lists this ribosomal RNA (242 nucleotides) under Lachnospiraceae bacterium. RNAcentral describes it as "partial 16S ribosomal RNA". It matches the Rfam family "Bacterial small subunit ribosomal RNA", at positions 1 to 234 of the family's 1533-position model. Lineage: Bacteria; Bacillati; Bacillota; Clostridia; Lachnospirales; Lachnospiraceae. The record is from RNAcentral.